RNAcentral lists this ribosomal RNA (397 nucleotides) under uncultured bacterium. RNAcentral's name for it is "partial 16S ribosomal RNA". It matches the Rfam family "Bacterial small subunit ribosomal RNA", at positions 523 to 918 of the family's 1533-position model. The record is from RNAcentral.
AUACGUAGGGGGCGAGCGUUGUCCGGAAUGAUUGGGCGUAAAGGGCGCGUAGGCGGCCCGGUAAGUCUGGAGUGAAAGUCCUGUUUUUAAGAUGGGAAUUGCUUUGGAUACUGUCGGGCUUGAGUGCAGGAGAGGUAAGUGGAAUUCCCAGUGUAGCGGUGAAAUGCGUAGAGAUUGGGAGGAACACCAGUGGCGAAGGCGACUUACUGGACUGUAACUGACGCUGAGGCGCGAAAGUGUGGGGAGCAAACAGGAUUAGAUACCCUGGUAGUCCACACUGUAAACGAUGAAUGCUAGGUGUAGGGGGUAUCGACCCCUUCUGUGCCGCAGUCAACACAAUAAGCAUUCCGCCUGGGGAGUACGGCCGCAAGGUUAAAACUCAAAUGAAUUGACGGGG